GUUAUUUAUAUGACGUUAAAAUUUUCAUUUGAAUUUAUCAUGUCUCAAAAUAAUUUAGAAUUUGUUCUUACUAGGAAAUCAUAUUAUUCAAGGAUCUUAUUCCGGUGUUUUUAAAUCUCUUAGUUUUGCCAUCUGGUCAAUUAAAUUGUCAAUUCGAAUUAUUUUUAUAAAUCAAAAUUGCCAAUGAAAAUUUUAACGUCAUAUAAAUAAC
Molecule: unclassified non-coding RNA, 211 nt
Filed under: Hevea brasiliensis (rubber tree)
Lineage: Eukaryota; Viridiplantae; Streptophyta; Magnoliopsida; Malpighiales; Euphorbiaceae
Source: RNAcentral